AGCAGCCGCGGUAAUUCCAGCUCCAAUAGCGUAUAUUAAAGUUGUUGCAGUUAAAAAGCUCGUAGUUGAAUUUCGGGAUCAAUAUGUUGGUCGUGCCUCGGUACGUACUAGCUUAUUGGUUUCUCCUUUCUGAAGAACCAUGAUGUCAUUUAUUUGGUGUCGUGGGGAAUCAGGACUGUUACUUUGAAAAAUUAGAGUGUUUAAAGCAGGCUCACGCUUGAAUACAUUAGCAUGGAAUAAUGAAAUAGGACGUUUGAUUCUAUUUUGUUGGUUUCUAGGAUCGACGUAAUGAUUAAUAGGGAUAGUUGGGGGCAUUAGUAUUCAAUUGUCAGAGGUGAAAUUCUUGGAUUUUAUUGAAGACUAACUACUGCGAAAGCAUUUGCCAAGGAUGUUUUCAUUAAUCAAGAACGAAAGUUAGGGGAUCGAAGACGAUCAGAUACCGUCGUAGUCUUAACCAUAAACUAUGCCGACU
Molecule: small RNA, 472 nt
Filed under: uncultured Glomus
Lineage: Eukaryota; Fungi; Glomeromycota; Glomeromycetes; Glomerales; Glomeraceae
Description: SSU rRNA
Rfam family: Eukaryotic small subunit ribosomal RNA
Source: RNAcentral